RNAcentral lists this ribosomal RNA (253 nucleotides) under uncultured bacterium. RNAcentral's name for it is "partial 16S ribosomal RNA". It matches the Rfam family "Bacterial small subunit ribosomal RNA", at positions 524 to 776 of the family's 1533-position model. The record is from RNAcentral.
UACGUAGGGUGCGAGCGUUAAUCGGAAUUACUGGGCGUAAAGCGUGCGCAGGCGGUUGUACAAGACAGGUGUGAAAUCCCCGGGCUUAACCUGGGAACUGCACUUGUGACUGUACGACUGGAGUACGGCAGAGGGGGAUGGAAUUCCGCGUGUAGCAGUGAAAUGCGUAGAUAUCUGGAGGAACACCGGUGGCGAAGGCGCCCACCUGGCCUGCUACUGACGCUGAAGCUCGAAAGCUAGGGGAGCAAACGGG